Molecule: ribosomal RNA, 480 nt
Filed under: uncultured bacterium
Lineage: Bacteria
Description: partial 16S ribosomal RNA
Rfam family: Bacterial small subunit ribosomal RNA
Source: RNAcentral
GAUGAACGCUAGCGGCAGGCCUAACACAUGCAAGUCGAGGGGUAGAAGGAGCUUGCUCCUUUGAGACCGGCGCACGGGUGCGUAACGCGUAUGCAAUCUACCUUGUACAGGGGAAUAGCCCAGAGAAAUUUGGAUUAAUGCCCCAUAGUAUAUAACCUUCGCAUGUUGGUUAUAUUAAAGUUCCAACGGUACAAGAUGAGCAUGCGUCCCAUUAGUUAGUUGGUAAGGUAAGGGCUUACCAAGACGAUGAUGGGUAGGGGUCAUGAGAGGGAGAUCCCCCACGAUGGAACUGCGGCACGGACCAGAAUCCUACGGGAGGCAGCAGUGAGGAAUACUGGGCAAUGGUCGCAAGACUGAACCAGCCAUGCCGCGUGCAGGAAGACGGUCCUAUGGAUUGUAAACUGCUUUUAUACAGGAAGAAACCCUCCCACGUGUGGGAGCUUGACGGUACUGUAGGAAUAAGGAUCGGCUAACUACGUG